RNAcentral lists this ribosomal RNA (306 nucleotides) under uncultured bacterium. Its description in RNAcentral is "partial 16S ribosomal RNA". It matches the Rfam family "Bacterial small subunit ribosomal RNA", at positions 507 to 807 of the family's 1533-position model. The record is from RNAcentral.
GACAGCAGUCGCCGCGGUAAUACGGAGGAUCCAAGCGUUAUCCGGAAUCAUUGGGUUUAAAGGGUCCGUAGGCGGUCUUGUAAGUCAGUGGUGAAAGCCCAUCGCUCAACGGUGGAACGGCCAUUGAUACUGCAGGACUUGAAUUAUUGGGAAGUAACUAGAAUAUGUAGUGUAGCGGUGAAAUGCUUAGAGAUUACAUGGAAUACCAAUUGCGAAGGCAGGUUACUACCAAUUGAUUGACGCUGAUGGACGAAAGCGUGGGUAGCGAACAGGAUUAGAUACCUGCGUAGUCCCUGUCUCUUAUAC